Molecule: ribosomal RNA, 460 nt
Filed under: uncultured bacterium
Lineage: Bacteria
Description: partial 16S ribosomal RNA
Rfam family: Bacterial small subunit ribosomal RNA
Source: RNAcentral
CCUACGGGAGGCAGCAGUGAGGAAUAUUGGUCAAUGGACGAGAGUCUGAACCAGCCAAGCAGCGUGAAGGAUGACGGUCCUAUGUGUUGUAAACUUCUUUUAUAUGGGAAUAAAUUUUUCCACGUGUGGGAUUUUGUAUGUACCAUAUGAAUAAGGAUCGGCUAACUCCGUGCCAGCAGCCGCGGUAAUACGGAGGAUCCGAGCGUUAUCCGGAUUUAUUGGGUUUAAAGGGAGCGUAGGUGGAUUGUUAAGUCAGUUGUGAAAUUUUGUGGCUCAACCGUAAGAUUGCAGUUGAAACUGGCAGUCUUGAGUACGAUAGAGGUACGCGGAAUUCGUGGUGUAGCGGUGAAAUGCUUAGAUAUCACGAAGAACUCCGAUUGCGAAGGCAGUUCACUGGCGUGCAACUGACGCUGAGGCACGAAAGUGUGGGUAUCAAACAGGAUUAGAUACCCGAGUAGUC